RNAcentral lists this ribosomal RNA (944 nucleotides) under Agrypnus sp. 1 TMH-2008. Its description in RNAcentral is "partial 16S ribosomal RNA". The stretch from base 407 to 652 matches the Rfam family "Archaeal large subunit ribosomal RNA", at positions 1786 to 2143 of the family's 2987-position model. The record is from RNAcentral. Lineage: Eukaryota; Metazoa; Arthropoda; Insecta; Coleoptera; Elateridae.
AAAUUUCCCGAAUCGAGGAGAGCUAACUCGUUAUGAUUUUAAUUGUUAAAUAAAUUUAUUUUAUAGGGGGUUUGAAAUGAAACGUUAUUCGUUCCUUGUGAUAUCUGGUUUUUCGAGAAACGAGUUUAAUUCGCUUGGUUUUUUAAAGUCUUCAUUUUGUGAGGUUUUUAGUUUUCCAUGCAAUAUAAAGGGGGAUGAGCUUCUUUUUAUAAUACUAAAAAUAAUUGGUUUGUGUUAGUAAGUAUAAUUGCAAUUGUUAAUCUUUAGAAUAAUUUUAUAUUUGACUUUCUUUAAGUAAAUUAUUUGUAUUUGUUUUAGUUUUUAUAUUGAAAGGUUUUCUUUAAUUUUUUUAGCUUAGUUAUAAUGAUUAAAUUAGUAAAUUUUUGUGUUUGUUUUGUUGGAUUGUUAUUAGGUCUGGCAAAGGAACUCGGCAAAGUUAUUUUCCGCCUGUUUAUUAAAAACAUGUCCUUUUGAUUAUUAUUUAAGGUCUAAUCUGCUCAAUGAGGAGUUAAAUUGCCGCGGUAUUUUGACCGUGCGAAGGUAGCAUAAUAAUUAGUUUUUUUAUUGAAAGCUGGAAUGAAUGAUUGGACGAGAAAGUGGCUGUCUCUGCUGGAUUUGUUUUUGAAAUUAACUUUUAAGUAAAAAGGCUUAAAUGUUUCUAGAAGACGAGAAGACCCUAUAGAGUUUAAUAUUUGAAGGGGUUAGAAAUUUUUGGUAUCUAUUAUUUUUAUUUUUUUAAGUAUUUGGUUGGGGUGACCAGAAGAUUUGAUUCACUCUUCUAGGUUUUCAAUGUUGAUUUGCAGGUUUUGAUUCUGAGUUUUUCAAGUUUAAAAUAAAUUACCUUAGGGAUAACAGCGUAAUUUCUCUUUAGAGUUCUUAUCGUAAGGGAAGUUUGCGACCUCGAUGUUGGAUUAAAAUUAAUAUUGGGUGCAGAGCUCAAUAUU